CUAAAGCUAAGUGCUCAUUUGAAACUGCAGGGGAAACGUGAACGCCGCCUCCAUUUUCCCUCAUUCUCUACCGUUUCAAAUUCUAGGCCUUUGCCCAGUCAACUCCGAUUCGCCCAGAGGAGAAGAAAGGCUUCAUCGGUGCACCCACGAAGGUAAACUCCUUCUCCUUUCCUCCCUUUUUCCUUAUUGCUAUAUGUAUAUAAAAAAUAAAAACUGAAAGAACCACACCAAAAACGCAGAGAAAGAAAAUAAGAAGAAAAGUACCACCUUCAAAAACUGAUCUUUUGUUUUUGAUUUCUUUUUUGAUACAGUAUGCGUGUGUGAGGGGUUUUUUUUACAAACGCUAAAAAAUGACCUUAUAUAGCCAAAAAUAAAAUGAAAAUUACAAAAGAAAAAUGCCUUUCGCUCUUUUUCUUCUUUUCCCUUUUUGCUUUCGAUUUCUGCUCGUUUUUGCUUGUUUGUUGCAUUGCAGGUACGAGUACGGAAGGUGGACGUGGCACGUACGGAUGUGCGCGGGCGCGUGCGUACGGAGGCUCGCGUGAGUGCAGAGGCCUGGCCUGCGCGGACAAGAGGAGCUACUACGGCGCUGGGGUCUGAAUGCUGCUAGGGUUUGUUGCUGUGUAUUCUGGUGUUGGGCCAUUUGGGCUGAGUUAUGGUUGGGCUAGGGUCUUUAAUAUUGGGUUUUUGUAAAUGGACAUUUGGGCUAAACUUUAAUAUUUUGUUUUUCUUUCUAUUUUAUUUAGUUUAACAAAAUGGACCGGACAAAUUGGCCUAUUACACCUCAUUGACAAUCACUCUAUUAUUAAUAAAAAUGAUCAUAAAAAAUCUUUGUUAAUAAAAAUAUUUGCUGGGCAAACUAGGUAGGAGUCGUGUUAGGUCUUUGUAUGUUAUUAUAUUUAUUCAAGUUUAGUCAUUUAUAUUUCUCUAUAUACACAUUGUUUUUAAAAAAUGAUAAUUUUUUCAUAUUAUGAGUAAGAAUGAAUCAUGGACUACUAAUAUAUUUUACACUUUAAUACUACUUUUAUUGAUCCCCUCUUGUAGUUUCAUCCAACCAUGGAACUAGCUUCAAUUCUACUCCACUGGUAUAUAUAUAUAUGCCAAAUCCAUAUGCAUGUGUAAACCCAUGGCAAGCCUCA
RNAcentral lists this long non-coding RNA (1136 nucleotides) under Gossypium barbadense (sea-island cotton). RNAcentral's name for it is "long non-coding RNA (GBAR_LNC019280)". The record is from RNAcentral. Lineage: Eukaryota; Viridiplantae; Streptophyta; Magnoliopsida; Malvales; Malvaceae.